Molecule: non-coding RNA, 284 nt
Organism: Cinara cedri
Lineage: Eukaryota; Metazoa; Arthropoda; Insecta; Hemiptera; Aphididae
Source: the annotation of a GenBank genome assembly
AUUAUCAUGUCACAAAAAUUGUAAAUACAUUCGAUUAUUUACGCAAACCUCUGCCCAAAACACUUUAUACAAUAAUUGUUCGCCCGACUUGAUUUUAUUAGUUAACCGUGCCUAAUGGAUAUUAUAAUAUGUACUGUGUAAACGGAAUUUACGAGUCGACUAGAUUUGAUUUUUUUUUAUUAUUAUUAUUAUUAGUAAUAUAAGAACUAUUGUAUCGGUAUAAAACAUAAUAAAUAUAAUAUAGAGCAUGUUAUAUUGUAUACAUAUUUGUGGAAAAAUAAAAA